UACGUAGGGGCCUAGCGUUGUCCGGAUUUAUUGGGCGUAAAGAGCUCGUAGGCGGUUCGGCAAGUCGGAUGUGAAAUCUCCACGCUUAACGUGGAGGGGCCAUUCGAAACUGCCGUGACUCGAGUCCGGUAGGGGAGUGUGGAAUUCCCGGUGUAGCGGCGAAAUGCGUAGAGAUGCGGAGGAACACCGAUGGCGAAGGCAGCCCCCUGGGCUGACACUGACGCUCAGGCACGAAAGCGUGGGGAGCAAACAGG
Molecule: ribosomal RNA, 254 nt
Filed under: uncultured bacterium
Lineage: Bacteria
Description: partial 16S ribosomal RNA
Rfam family: Bacterial small subunit ribosomal RNA
Source: RNAcentral